AAGGUAGGAGGAUUUUCCAGAUUAUCUUCAGUUCCCAGGGCCCAAAGUAGGAGGAUUUUGCUAGUACAGUUGCUUAUGGGCCGAUGAUUUUUUCACUUUGAAGAAUGAAAGAAUGAAAAAUUCAAGAUAUUUAUUACUCGAACAGAAAUGAAAAAAAAAAAAAAAGAAUUAACGCAUAUCAAAUGUGAUCAGAACAUGUAGCAGCCUGAUGUGUGGCUGUAAGCUCAGAACAAGGCCAUGGGCUUACCUCAAGAGCAGCACCACUUACAUCAGAGCACUUCCAUGGAGUAGAUCUUGGUCCUGACACACCAUGAAGGUUGAUGUUAGAGAGACAUAUUCCGGUGAAAGGAGAGUUCUUCAGGCCUUG
This 367-nucleotide unclassified non-coding RNA is filed under the name Hevea brasiliensis (rubber tree). Lineage: Eukaryota; Viridiplantae; Streptophyta; Magnoliopsida; Malpighiales; Euphorbiaceae. The record is from RNAcentral.